UGGGGAAUAUUGCACAAUGGAGGGAACUCUGAUGCAGCGACGCCGCGUGAACGAAGAAGGCUUUCGAGUCGUAAAGUUCUUUUAUAUGGGAAGAUAAUGACGGUACCAUAAGAAAAAGCCCCGGCUAACUACGUGCCAGCAGCCGCGGUAAUACGUAGGGGGCUAGCGUUGUCCGGAAUCACUGGGCGUAAAGGGUUCGCAGGCGGAAAUGCAAGUCAGGUGUAAAAGGCAGUAGCUUAACUACUGUAAGCAUUUGAAACUGCAUAUCUCGAGAAGAGUAGAGGUAAGUGGAAUUUUUAGUGUAGCGGUGAAAUGCGUAGAUAUUAAAAAGAAUACCGGUGGCGAAGGCGACUUACUGGGCUCAUUCUGACGCUGAGGAACGAAAGCGUGGGUAGCAAACAGG
This 403-nucleotide ribosomal RNA is filed under the name bacterium. Its description in RNAcentral is "partial 16S ribosomal RNA". It matches the Rfam family "Bacterial small subunit ribosomal RNA", at positions 355 to 776 of the family's 1533-position model. The record is from RNAcentral. RNAcentral also lists the same sequence under 2 other names.